UACAGAGGUCCCGAGCGUUGUUCGGAAUUACUGGGCUUAAAGGGUGCGUAGGCGGCGCAGUAAGUUGGGUGUGAAAUCCCUCGGCUUAACCGAGGAAUUGCGCCCAAAACUACUGUGCUCGAGGGAGGUAGAGGUGAGCGGAACUUAGGGUGGAGCGGUGAAAUGCGUUGAUAUCCUAAGGAACACCGGUGGCGAAAGCGGCUCACUGGACCUCUUCUGACGCUGAGGCACGAAAGCUAGGGUAGCAAACGGG
This 253-nucleotide ribosomal RNA is filed under the name uncultured bacterium. Its description in RNAcentral is "partial 16S ribosomal RNA". It matches the Rfam family "Bacterial small subunit ribosomal RNA", at positions 524 to 776 of the family's 1533-position model. The record is from RNAcentral.